Molecule: long non-coding RNA, 3048 nt
Filed under: Sus scrofa (pig)
Lineage: Eukaryota; Metazoa; Chordata; Mammalia; Artiodactyla; Suidae
Description: lncRNA (ENSSSCG00030059116.1)
Source: RNAcentral
AGUUACACAUACAUGUAUACAUACUUUUUUCUCCCGUUAUCAUGCUCCGUCGUAAGUACCCAGACAUAGUUCUCAGUGCUACACAGCAGGAUCUCAUUGUUAAUCCAUUCCAAAAGCAACAGUUUUCAUUCGUUAACCCUAAGCUCCUGAUCCCUCCCACUCCCUCCCCCUCCUCCUGGGCAACCACAAGUCUGUUCUCCAAGUCCAUGACUUUAUUUUCUAUGGAAAGGUUCGUUUGUGCUGUAUAUUAGAUACCAGAUAUAAGUGAUAUCCUUGGGUUUUCUUAUGUAAGCAUUGGCUAUUAUUCUUUUUAAAAAAUGUUGCUGACUAUGUACUCUCUUAAUUAGAAUCUCUCGGUGGUCCCACCGUAUGUGGGGCACCCUCCACAUCAGGCCUGCAAGGUCUCACAUGGGCGUAUUGCUGACUGCCUCCCUCAUUUCUUCCCUCACUGCCUCUGCUGUUUGCUCACCAUACUCAAGCCAUCCUUGCCUUCCACUCAUUCACGACGCACGCCAAGGCCCCUCUCAUCUCAGGGUCUCUGCCUGGAUGAGUGCUAGACCCAACCCCAAUCAAGCCCCCUCUUUGUAUAAGCUCCAUGUCAGUUUAAAUUCACUUCCUCGGGAAGGCCUCUCUUCUUUGGGUGCAUCCUCCCUUCUUAUUACAGCUUUAUUAAGAUAUAACUUCCAUUCCAUAAAAUCACCUUGUUUAAAAGGAAGGAUUCAGCGGUUCUUAGUUCAUUUUCAGAGUUGUGCAAACGUCACCACAAACUAACUUUAGAACGACCCCCUCUCCAAGUAAAAGAAAGUCAUUCUUCCCAUUCUCUGCUCCAGGGAACCAGUCAUCUAAUUCUGUUUGUGCAGAUUUGCCUUUUCUGGACAUUUCAUAUAAAUGGGAUCUUGCAAUAUACAAUCUUGAGUCUGGGCUCUUUCACUUAGUCUAAUGUUUUUGAGGUUGAUCAGUACCUCAUCUUUUAUUAAUUGCUCAUCAGUAUUCCAUUGUAUAGAUAAACCGCAUUUUAUUUAUCUGCUCACUCUAUUCACUGGAGGACAUUUUGGUAUUUCUACUUUCUGGUUGGUAUGAUAAAUGCUAUUGAGGAGUUUGCAUGCAAGCUGAAAGGUCUUUCUUGACCAUGUUGCCUCAAAGGGUUCCCUUGUCUCUUAUGUAUUCUCUUCAGACCCUGUUAACUUCUGUUAGAAUACUCUACUUUCAUUUGUCGUUCUACUUUCUUUUCCUUUUAAAAAAUAUGUCUCUCCAAUUAGAAUGUAGUCUCCAUGGAGCAGAAACUAGGACAGACUUGGUCAUCAGCAUAUCCCCAGUGUGAAGUACACUGUCGGCAGUUAAUAAAUAAUUGUCGAGUGAAUGAAUGAAUAAAUACAUCUUGCACUGAACAAUUUUUGGUGGCAUCCACACGACGUAUAUGUUAUACUUCCAAUAUCCACUUCCAGUCAAUAAAUGGGGAAGCACCAUUUUAAGGUAAUGUCUAUUCUCCUAGGACCAUCCCCCCAAUACAAAGCUAUUAAAAAACCAUGGCAGUCUUCAGGAAAACGUCAGAAGAAAAAUGUGGCUACCCACACACAAAGGAAAAUAAUUUAGCACUAAUCGCAUAUCAUAAAAUGUAAUGUAUAAAUGAUAUGCAGUUCUUCAUAAAUAUUUAUGAAGGGAAGGACUUGUUUAUAUACGAAACUACAUUCAGAGUGUCUAAUCUAACUCUGCCCAUAUCUUCCCAAGUGUCUGGAAUUCUGAUCUCUGAAACUGUGAUAUUAUAAAAAAGAUAUGACAUAUAUAGCAGAAACACACUUGUCAAGUGACCCUUUGAUUCAAGAGAAUAAAAAUAUAACCUGAAUUUAGAAACCACUAUGUUUUAAGCAUCGCACUUGCCUUGCCAGGGGCCAUUUUGACUUAUCUUCUUGUGCUCAAACUAACACUUUCUCAGACUAAGAAUAGGUAGAAGUCCAUAUUGAUACCAUAUAAGCCGAAACAAAAAGAUUUAUCCAUCUAUUUCACUCACAACUCUGCAAUUAUAAAGAAAUAUUCUAAAGAAAAUUAUAUGAAAAGAGAAAAAAUUUUCAAAUUAACAUAGUUCAUCACUUAAAGGGCAAAUCAGACUCCAAUGGAGGCUCCCCAUGUCUCCUAAAAUUGCCAUGGGACUCCUCAAAGCUCUCCUUUGUCCGGCUUAUAUUUCGUACUCAUAAUAUCACUACACCCUUACCUAUUAAAGUCCUUGAAUAUGGCUACUGACAUAAUGCAUGACUUGCCUUCUUCCAUGGUGGCUCUCAUGUUGUUAAACUUUUCACCUUUUUCUGACCAUGACUCUAGUCCAAGUCAGAUGCCCAGGCUGAUUCACGGCCUCUCAGUGUUGACUAAUACAUUGAAAAUUUUCCAGUGUGGCUGGCCAGCCUCUGGUCUUCCCCAGUAACUGACUUUCCUGAUGUGCUGAGACUGUGUUGGUUGGAGCGCUGAAAGAACCACAUUCUAGGAAACCCUUCAAUCCUGGGCAAAUUGGGACAGCUGGUUACCCUACUCCCAGAUUUUUAUGAAAAGUUUCUACCAAAGACUGUUGGUAGAUAUCCAUUAGCCUAGCCUUCUAUCUGAUCUAAACAGAUUUCUAAUACCUUUGUUUCCAUAGCCCGAUGAUGGAGCUGAGAUUAAAUGCACACUGCAGUUAUUUUAGAAAAGUCUUAAAAUGUGUAACUUAUUGACCCAGAAAUUUCACUUAAUCAGAGAUAUGUGCAAAGAUCUGGUUACAAGGAUUCUUAUUUCUAUGUUAUUAAUUAGAAUCAAACUUAAAAAAACCUAAAUAUUCAACCAUAGGCCAACGAUAGAUAAGAUAUGCCUCCAUUCCGUGGAAUAUUUAUGUGUGUAGCUUUUAAAAAAGCAAUGUAGGAGAAUAUUUAAUGGCAUGGGGAGGUUGUUCACAACUUUAGACUAGGAGAAGUCAACCUACAGAACAGUAUGUAGAUAUGACUCAAAAGUUUUUGCAAGGAAAAAAAUGUAUGAUACAUAUGGGUAUACACAUAUAAAUAUUUACAAACCAAAAUAUUGACAGUG